GUAAACCUGAGAAACCCAAAAGAUCGAAUGGGGAGAUUCAUCGUCAGCUCAUUUUGUAUAUAUAUGAGUUAUGAUAUGGGUUACUACUUGUAGUAUUGCCUGUACAUUCUUGUAUAUUUUAUUGCAAGAUGUUGUCGGCGUGCACUUCUCCCCUAGUAGGACGUCGCGACCCGUUGAGUGUCGGUCUAUGGCCCGAGUGGUAGCCUUUAAUUCUUGUAAUUAAAGACCCUUGGUGUUUCCCGACUGGCUACUCGGCGGUAUUCGUACGGUAUUAAGCCGCAUUUAUGCGUUCAUAUCCGUCGCAAGCGCGGUCAAUUUUUGGUAGUACGGACCUAGUGCCGUCGCUAUAAUUGAUCAGCUGUUGGUUGUACGGUAUUCUAGAACAGGCUUAACAUUAAUAUACCGGUCUGCGAUGCUACUGCUUUGGGUACUUUCAGGACCCGUCUUGAAACACGGACCAAGUUG
Molecule: ribosomal RNA, 465 nt
Filed under: Braconinae sp. RAW-2006a
Lineage: Eukaryota; Metazoa; Arthropoda; Insecta; Hymenoptera; Braconidae
Description: eukaryotic LSU rRNA
Source: RNAcentral